UGGGGAAUAUUGCACAAUGGGCGCAAGCCUGAUGCAGCCAUGCCGCGUGUGUGAAGAAGGCCUUCGGGUUGUAAAGCACUUUCAGCGGGGAGGAAGGCGUUAAGGUUAAUAACCUUGGCGAUUGACGUUACCCGCAGAAGAAGCACCGGCUAACUCCGUGCCAGCAGCCGCGGUAAUACGGAGGGUGCAAGCGUUAAUCGGAAUUACUGGGCGUAAAGCGCACGCAGGCGGUCUGUCAAGUCGGAUGUGAAAUCCCCGGGCGCAACCUGGGAACUGCAUUCGAAACUGGCAGGCUAGAGUCUUGUAGAGGGGGGGAGAAUUCCGGGUGUAGCGAGGAAAUGCGUAGAGAUCUGGAGGAAUACCGGUGGCGAAGGCGGCCCCCUGGACAAAGACAGACGCUCAGGUGGGAAAGCGUGGGGAGCAAACAGG
Molecule: ribosomal RNA, 429 nt
Filed under: Chloroflexota bacterium
Lineage: Bacteria; Bacillati; Chloroflexota
Description: Chloroflexi bacterium partial 16S ribosomal RNA
Rfam family: Bacterial small subunit ribosomal RNA
Source: RNAcentral